Molecule: RNA transcript, 3798 nt
Organism: Epinephelus moara (kelp grouper)
Lineage: Eukaryota; Metazoa; Chordata; Actinopteri; Perciformes; Serranidae
Gene: gdpd5b
Gene name: glycerophosphodiester phosphodiesterase domain containing 5b
Exons: 17
Source: RefSeq, a predicted model, not a curated record
ACUCCUCCCACUAUUCAGUACAUUGAAUUACUCAGCCGGUUCAUGUACCGCUGCUCCCACAGAGACGAGGACACACGCGUUAUCUUCAGAGGACCAAAAACCACAGAGGACGGAGUAACUGAGAAUAUGAACCGGGACCUUUUUCAACUAGACCGAAGCCACUGACCCGGUGUGGAGCAGUUACUCACCCGGCUCUUCUCUCCUUUGUUUUCGGUGUAAACUUCAGCGCAGUCAGCAUUUAACGUUACCGACCACCCACCUCUCUCACGCUACCUUUGACACGGGCUGUCCCCGUCUGACUGUCGGGGGGAGAGACACUUUUGAGGGGAGGAAUAAAAACGAAAGCGACAACUUCACCGUGAGCGAACUGUGAAAUCAAAGAAAAGUGGUGGCAGCCCGCAGACAGGACACUUGGUAGUCAGUGGGAUGUUAGAGCUCUGGAAGCAGGACUGACUGAAGGAGCAUGGUGAAGCACCAACCCCUCCAGGUCUAUGAGCGCCAGCUGUGUUUGUCAUGUAUCACUGGGAUCUACGGUUGCCGCUGGAAACGCUAUCAACGUUCCCAUGAUGACACCACAAAGUGGGAGCUGCUGUGGUCCCUCAUCCUCCUCUUCACCUUCUGUCUGCUGCUGGUCUGGUUCUACUUCUGGUGGGAGGCGCAUAACGACUACAAUGAGUUCAACUGGUUCCUCUACAACCGCUCUGGGGAGUGGAGUGAUGGCACUGUUCCCAUCCUGGCCACCACCGCUGCUGGCUUCACCUACAUUGCAUUUUUAAUGGUUUUAGCACUUUGCCACAUUGCACUUGGGCAACAGUUGAAUUUGCACUGGCUCCAUAAGAUAGGAGUGACUGCUGCUCUGCUCACCACCAUUGUUGGGGUGAUAUCUGUCAAUCAAACAUGGGGGCAAGAGUGGGAUGUCAUACCCAUCUCCCUGCAGGCCACAGGUCCCUUUCUGCACAUAGGGGCUCUGGCUGCGGUCACAGCGCUGUCUUGGAUUGUGGCUGGACAAGUCGCCCGCGCAGAAAAAACAGUGUUCCAGGUGGUGGUCGUGCUGCUGUAUCUCAGUGUGUUAUUGGGACUCUACGUGGUGCCGCUUUACAUCACCUCCCCUUGCAUCAUGGACCCCACCACCCUGAAGCAACGCCCUGAUGUCAUUGGCCACCAGGGAGCACCCAUGCUUGCACCUGAGAACACACUGUGGUCCUUCCAGCGAGCUCUGCAGAUGAACGUCACCGGGUUGGAGGCUGACGUGGCUAUCAGUGUGGAUGGAGUGCCAUUCCUGAUGCGUGACCGCACCCUUCGGAGGACCACAGAUGUAGCGAGGGUAUUCCCAGGCAGACAAAUGGAAGACGCUUCAUCCUUCAACUGGACAGAUCUGCAGCAGCUCAACGCAGGACAGUGGUUCCUCAAGGAUGACCCCUUUUGGACGGUGCACUCCCUGUCCCAACAUGAGAAGAAUCUGAUUGCCAACCAGAGUGUGUGCAGCCUGAAGCAGCUUCUAAAGCUGGCUUCCUAUCAUAACAGCACAGUGGUCUUCCGGCUGAGGAGGCCUCCUCCGGAGCACCCCUGCUACGACAGCUGGAUCAAUGAUACACUGCAGGUUGUGCAGCAAUCUGGGCUUCCUCAGAGCCUGGUGAUGUGGACUCCAGAUGAACACAGAGCUCAGGUGAGACAGCUUGCGCCCGGUCUGAUCCAGACCUCAGUGGAGAAACGGAGUCCUCAAAGUCUCCAUCAGUACGGCAUCAGCAGGCUGCUGCUCAGAUACAACCAGGCCAGCACAUGGGAAAUCAGAAACUUCUCCCAGAGCAACAUCAACCUCACCCUUUACACCGUCAACGAGCCCUGGCUGUACUCGGUGCUCUGGUGCAGCGGGGUGUCUUCAGUCUCUUCAGAGGCCUCACAUAUCCUCAAAAAGGUGCCUUACCCCAUCUGGCUCAUGAGACCAGAUGAAUACUGCCUGAUGUGGGUGUCUGUGGACCUCAUCUCUUUUGCUGUAGUCAUAGGAGUAUUCAUUUUCCAGAAGUAUCGGAUGAGCGGUAUGCGCAGCUACAACCCUGAGCAGAUCAUGCUGAGCGCCGCAGUCAGGAGGUCCAGCAGAGACCUCAACGUCAUGAAGGAGAAACUUAUCUUCUCUGGUCAACCCCAGUAGCAGCCUGUGUGAUGUGCACCACCUCUUGUCCAUGCUACCACCUCCUCCACCAGCAGUGACUUCUUCCUUUAUUCCAUGCAUCCAUUACCUGCCACUUCUCUGCCUACUAUGCCCCUCUCCCCUUCAUCCAUCCAUCCAUCCAUCCACUCAUCCCUUCAUGCACCAAACCUCCCCACUACCCUCCCACUGGAGACACCGACAUGUGUAGGGGAGCUUAUAGAUGCCCCAGUCUGUCUAGACAGCCUCUAGUGCUGGGGGUCAAAGAGGUGGGGAAUGGAGUUGGCAGUGCUGAGGAGCUGUACGCGGACAAUGGCUACGACUACUACACCAAUCAGGGCAUCAGCCAGUGAUUGGGACUCUGUGUGAAUCUGCUGUAGCGAGACGGAGACGACUAAGCUCUCAGUGUUUACAUCAUUCCUGUUCCAGUCGGUGUGAAGUCUGAUCUCCUCCUUUGUCCUACUGAUAACCCGACAGACUGCUGUAUCUGAUGGAGAAAACAACCACCCAGUUGCUUUAUGUACAUUCUGUAAAUACUUUUGUUUCUUGCUUGUCAGACAUACUGUACAUCACACAGAACUACACGCACUUUUUAUUGAUGGGAUCCGCCAAAUCUGUGGCCGCCUCCUCUCACAUCUAGAUGUCAGAGAGUCACCGACGCCCGCUUCUUUUUAAAGAUGUGUUUCCAGAUUCUUUAUUAUUAUUUUAAGCUAAAUUUCCAAAGCAGUUCCUUGUUUCCAAACCACUGUACAUGAUACUUCUCUUAGCAGAUGAAAUUAUUUUUAGCGAGGCUUUAUGGCAGCAUGAGACUAAACGCUAACGGCUCAUUAUGCUCUUGCCUUCUGUCAGCACUCCACUGUGCUGUUGUUCAUAAUAGUACUAGCAUUAAUAUUUAUAUUUAAAGAGAAAAACAAAAAAAAAAACAUGAACAAGCUGUUUACAGAAGUCCUGCCUUCUCCUCCAAGUGAAAUAUUCACAUGGUGUAUGUAAGAUAAUUAUUUUGAUAGAGGCUGAAUGCCCCUGCGGCCCCGCCCUCCUUCUGACCAGUGCAUGUAACCGUAAUGACCAUAUCAACUGAUGUAUGUGAGCUGUGCUCCCAGUGUACCAGAAGAACUGGUGGAAAUGGUUUGGGGGUAAAGACUUGUGCUGUCUUUUUAUGGUUAAUGUGAAUGUGUUUGGAUUUUUUUUUUUUAAAGAUGUGAACGGUGUAUUGUGUGUAUAUUGGCUGGGUAUAUAUUUUUUACCCUGUGUGCAGUGCUAUGUUGAGUUUAUUGUAUAUAAAAGGUGAACCAGUGUGUGAGAUGCUGCAGCCAGCCAAGCAUUACAUUUGAACGACAUGACAGUGAUGAAUUAUUACAAUAGCAAUAGUCCGGUCACAACGGAAGCCACUACACAGCCUCUGUAUUACAGUAACGUCGUGGUGUUUUAGUGUUGACUGAUGACAUGCAUUUAAGUGUUGGCUGCUGGUGUAAACCUGACUGCUGUAAGGUAAAUGAAGUGGGUGCUAAAUGUGAAAAUAAAGCUCUGAGCUAAUUGAAGGGAAGCUACAGGUAUCACAACAGGGUCAAGAAGUGGAUUGCCUUUUGUGUUUCUAUUUUUUUCUUUGGGUGUUACUGUGCCUCAGAAGUAAACAUUAAAAAAAUCUUCUAAUA